This 535-nucleotide ribosomal RNA is filed under the name uncultured archaeon. RNAcentral describes it as "bacterial SSU rRNA". It matches the Rfam family "Archaeal small subunit ribosomal RNA", at positions 345 to 879 of the family's 1478-position model. The record is from RNAcentral.
AACCUUUACACUGCACGCCAGUGCGAUAAGGGAAUCCCAAGUGCGCAGGCAUAGAGCCUGCGCUUUUGUACACCGUAGGGAGGUGUACGAAUAAGGGCUGGGCAAGACCGGUGCCAGCCGCCGCGGUAAUACCGGCAGCCCGAGUGAUGGCCGAUCUUAUUGGGCCUAAAGCGUCCGUAGCUGGCCGCACAAGUCCAUCGGAAAAUCCACCCGCUCAACGGGUGGGCGUCCGGUGGAAACUGUGUGGCUUGGGACCGGAAGGCGCGACGGGUACGUCCGGGGUAGGAGUGAAAUCCCGUAAUCCUGGACGGACCGCCGAUGGCGAAAGCACGUCGCGAGGACGGAUCCGACAGUGAGGGACGAAAGCCAGGGUCUCGAACCGGAUUAGAUACCCGGGUAGUCCUGGCCGUAAACAAUGUCUGUUAGGUGUGGCUCCCACUACGAGUGGGUGCUGUGCCGUAGGGAAGCCGCUAAACAGACCGCCUGGGAAGUACGUCCGCAAGGAUGAAACUUAAAGGAAUUGGCGGGGGAGCAC